AUCUUACUCUAAUUGCUAGUCCUAUUAUGUUGAAGUAGUUUCCAGUAAUAAUCUCCCUUUUCCCUCUGGACCACACAACUCACUGUUCUCACUUUAGUGUUCACUCACACACACAAAGGUAUGCUCUCACAACACAGUUGUUGGUAGGAUAGAAGUAAAACUGUUAUUCUUUCAUUCAAAGCACCUUAGAAUGACUUAUAAACCCCCUUUCUGUUACAAAACUAACUACUAACUCUAUUUUAAAAGAGUUAUAUAACCCCUUUCUGUUACAAAACUAACUACUAACUCUGUUUUAAAAGAGUUAUAUAACAAAUGUCCCCUCCAUGAACAAGGACUUGACCACAAGGCCCGACCCCUACACCCAUUUAAAGUCUGGAAAUUUUUGUUGCAUUUUAUAGAGGUUUCUCCUAACUGCAUCUUCUGGAUUUGUCUCAGUCCAUUGCACCAAAACUUCAGUUACAAAUUUAUUGUUUUGUUUCUUCAUUCUACGAGCUAGAAUAGCCAAUGGUUGUGGAAUGAAAUGACCAUCACUGUCAGCAAAAGGUAAAGUUGUAGAUACUGGUUUAUUUCCAUGCGAUGGUUUGAGUAAGGAAACAUGCAAAAGAUUAUGAAUCUUAGAGUCAGUAGGUAAUUCCAGUUUAUAAGCCACAUUGCCAAUCCUUUCUAAAACCUUGUAGGGACCAUAAUAUCGGGCAACUAACUUGUGGAAAUAGAGGAAGGAUAGCCAUAAAGAGCUUUAAAUGGAGUCAACUGUAUAGCUGUAUGAAAUUUGGUGUUGUACCACAAUUUCGCAAGAGGUAAGUACUCAGUCCACUUGGAAGGAGUGUCCUAGGAAACACAUCGAAGAUAAGCCUCAAUGGAUUUGUUUACAGCCUCUGUUUGACCAUUUAUCUGUGGAUGAAAAGUCGUUGAGCGCAGCAGCUUGACACCAUUCUUGUGCAUCAACUCAAUCCAAAAAUGACUCAUGAACAUCCGAUAUAAUGUCCUGUGGCCAGCCAUGAAGCUUGAUAAUAUUGUCCAUGAAAAGGGAUGCCACCUUAGCCUCCAAAAGGAUGUGCAAGUGGCAAAAAAUGAGCAUACUUAGUUAAACAGUCUAUAACAACAAAAAUCACAGUCAUAAAACAAGAUUUAGGGAGACCAACAAUAAAUUCCAUGGAUAUAGAUUUCCAAGGUCUAUCAGGAAUAGAUAAUGGUUGUAAUAUACCCACAGGAAAUUGAAGUAAAGGCUUACAUUUUUUACAUAGAUGACAAUGCUGGACCCAUUUUUUUACCUCCUUCUGCAUACCCUUCCAAUAGAAGUGAUCUUUAAUCCUUCUAUAAGUCAUCUCAUAUCUUGAAUGGCCUCCAAUCGCUGAAUCAUGAAAGUGUUGGAGAAUCUGUUGACGCAAUUCUGCAUUGUCUCCCACCACUAACUUACCUUUUCUCCUCCAUAAAUCAUUCUCAAAAGUAUAAUGUUUAUGGGGAUUUUUAGUCAAGCGAAUACUAUCAAUAACAUUUUGAAAUUUUGAUCUACUGGCCAAGAAUCCUUAACUCUCUGAAUUAAUUCAGAAGUUAUUACAAACAUUGAAGCUAACUUACCUUAGGUAGGGUUUCGUGACAGCACAUCAACUACUACAUUGUUUUACCUUUUUUGUAUUCAAUGUGGAAAUCCAAACCCAUGAGCUUGUCCAAACCCCAAUUCUGUAACAUUGUUGUAGGGGGUUGCUCCAGCAAAUACUUCAAAGCCUUUUGAUCUGUUUUUAUUACCACGUAUUGAUCUAAAAAUAAUGCUGCCACUUUUUUACUGCAAAUAGAAUAGCAAAAAAUUCUUUCUCAUAUGCAGAUAACAAUUGAUAUUUAGGUCUCAUUGCCUUACUUAAGUGUGCAAUAGGGUGAUUAGAUUGCAUGAGCACCGUUCCAAUCCCUAUUCUUGAAGCAUAAGUUUCAAUAGUAAAAGAUUGCAAAAAAUUUGGUAAUAUUAAAACUGGAGCAGUGGUUAUUGCCUUUUUUUAACCUGUGGAACCCCACACAUAAGGAAUAUCUUUUUGCAGUAAAGCUGUCAAAGGUGUUGCAAUCUUACCAUACCCCUGAAUAAAACGUCUAUAGUAGCCAGACAGUCCCAAGAAUCCACGCAACUCCUUUAAAUUGGUAGGUUGUGACCAUUCUUGAACAACCAAUAUUUUUUCUAGAUCAGGUUGGACUCCUUGCAUAGAAAUUUGAUGUCCCAAAUAAUUUACCUGUGUCUUUCCAAAGCUACAUUUCUUUUUAUUCUAAAAUAAAUUAUGAUUGCGUAAUAAGGUCAACGUUAUGUCAAUGCACCUAAUAUGGUCUACCCAAGUCUUAGUAUAGAUUAAUAUAUCAUCAAAGAAAACCAAUAUGAAUUUCCUUAAAUAAGAAUCAUUCAUAAGAUUUUGAAAUGUAGCAGGGGCAUUGCUAAGACCAAAAGGCAAAACUACCCACUCAUACAGCCCACUAUGAGUCCUAAAAGUUGUUUUAUAAAUAUCCGAUGGAUGCAUUCUAACCUGAUUAUAUCCACUUCUUAGGUCUAAUUUUGAAAAAUAAGUAGGCCCAUACAAUUCAUCCAAAAGAUCCUCAAUCAAGGGUAUAUGAAUUUUUUUUUAAUAGUCAUAGCUUUCAACUUUCUGAAAUCAGUGCAACAACGCCAAUCUUUUUAACCAAAACCAAGGGAGAAGCAUAACAACUAGAACUCUCUCUAAUAAAUCCAGUUGAUAACAAUUGUUUUAUGUCUUUUAAUUUCAUUUUUCUGGUUGUGAGGAUACCUAUAAGGUUUCAAAGAAACAGGAACAUCACUAUUUAAAAUGAUUCUAUGGUCAUACCUUUUAGGUGGUGGAAGUUGGGUAGGUUCUUGAAAAACAUCUUCAAAUUGAGUUAAUAAUUCAUCCAGUUGUUGUUGUUGUGCACUCGAAAUGCAUAAACUGAGAAUGGGAUGCAAUAUGAAAAGUAGUUGCACCUUGUAUGGCUAAUAACAUAGGUUGACCCUCUGCAAGCUUAACUUUAUUGGAAAUUUGAAUAUUAUUAUUUUGUUGUUUUUCUCCUACUAAAGUCACCCCUUAUCUCCCUUAUGGUUGAAAGACAUAGUUAGUUGUGCACAAUUCCAUACAAGCUCUCCUAAUGUUUGAAACCAUUGCAUGCCCAAAAUAACUCUAAAAUUAGUACUAGAUAAAUACCAAAAAGUCAGUCUGAAAACUCUGAUUAUGAAACUACUAGUCAAUCCCCAAACACUGUUUAGUGAUUAUUAAAGGAAAAGAAUGAAUAGAGCAAAUCCCUUGUGUAUAUUGAACACAUAGGGUUAUGUUUAUAUAGGAAAAGAAACAUAUGGGCUAAGCCCAUUACAUAAAUAUGAGAUAUUUAACAAUAUCUAUAAUAUCUCAUAAUAUCACAUAAUAUCUAAUUAUAUCUAAUAAUAUCUAAUAAUAUCUAACACUCCCCCUCAAGCUGGUGCAUAUAGAUCAUAUGUGCCCAGCUUGUUACAAAUGAAAUCAAUCCUAGGCCCUCGUAAGGGUUUAGUAAAAAUAUCUGCUAAUUGAUUAUUUGAAUUAACAAACUCAGUCUUGAUAUCUCCCGAUAUAAUCUUUUCUCGAAUGAAAUGACAAUCAAUAUCAACAUGUUUUGUCCUUUCAUGAAAAACUGGAUUUGAGCUAAUAUGAAGAGCAGUCUGAUUAUCACAUAUAAGUGUCAUUUGAGUAACCUCUCCAAAUUGCAAUUCUUUAAGUAACUGUUUAAGCCAAAUAAGCUCACAAGUAGCCGAGGCCAUAACUCUAUAUUCUGUUUCUGCACUAAAUCUUGCCACAACACUUUGUUUCUUGCUCUUCCAAGAGAUCAAGUUAUCACCAAUGGAGACACAAUAACCAGAAGUUGAUCUUCUAUCAAAUGGAGAUCCUGCCCAAUCAGCAUCUGAAUAACAAACGAUUUUAGUAUGGUUAUUAUGACCAUAUAACAAACCUUUUCCAAGAGAGCCUUUAAUGUACUUCACUAUACGAAUGAAUGCAUUCCAAUGAUCUUCACAUGGAGAAUUAAGAAAUUGACUCACUACACUGACUGCAAAGGAAAUAUCAAGACGAGUAACAGUGAGAUAGUUCAAUUUUCCAACUAAUCUCCUGUACUUCUCAGGAUCUGAAAGAGGCUCCCCCUAAUUGGGUAAAAGCUUGAAAUUGAGAUCCAUGGGAGUAUCAACAGAUUUUGAAUUCAUCAACCCAAUUUCCUCCAAAAUAUCUAAUGCAUAUUUUCUUUGAGAGAUAACAAUACCAGUAUUGGAUUGUGCUACCUCAAUCCCCAAGAAAUAUCUAAGUUUGCCAAGAUCUUUUGUCUGAAAGUGUUGACAAAGGUGUUGUUUUACUUGUGAGAUGCCAUGGUGAUCACUGCCUGUAAGAAAAAUGUCAUCAACAUAUACUACGAGAUAGAUACACCCAACACUCGAGUGACGAUAAAAAACUAAAUGAUCUCCUUCACUGCGAGUCAUACCAAAUUGUUGAACAACAUUGCUAAAUUUUCCAAACAAGCCCUAGAUGACUGUUUGAGGCCAUAUAAGGAUUUGCGAAGACGACAUACCAAUCCAGAAGACUCCCCCUGAGCAACAAAACUGGGAGGUUGCUCCAUAUAAAUUUCUUCCUGCAAAUCCCCAUUAAGAAAAGCAUUUUUGACAUCCAGUUGAUAAAGAGGCCAUUGUUGAAGAGCAUCCAUAGCUAUGAAUAAGCGAACAAAGACCAUCUUUGCUACUGGAGAAAAAAUAUCACCAUAGUCUAAACCAAAAAUUUGGGUAUAACCCUUAGCCACAAGACGAGCUUUGAGACGAUCAAUAGUACCAUCAGGACAAACUUUGAUAGCAAAAAUCCACCUGCAACCAACAACAGAUUUCCUAGAUGGUAAAGGAACAAGUUCCCAAGUUCCAUUAUUCUGAAGCUCAUUCAUUUCAUCAAGCAUGGCCUGAUGCCAACCAAGAUGAGCUAAGGCAUCACCUACAGAUUUUGGAAUGGAUACAGAAGAAAUAGACGAAAGGCAGGUAUAAAAGGGUUGAGUUAGUCUAUGGUAACUCAAAGCAGUAUAAUGUGGAGAGGGAUUACGAGUAGAACGUAUACCUUUACGGAUAGCAAUAGGCAGAUCAGGUUCAACAGUCGGAGGGGGAUGAGGUGUUGGCACCAGAAUAGAGUCUGCUGAUGGACGAUGAGACGUUUGACGACGACUAUACACCUGAAGAGUUGGUGGCGGUGGUGAAUCGUUAGGUGCACUAGGCACAACAAGAGGAAUAUUAACUUGAUUAGAUGAAAAAAUUGAAAGAGAAGGACAAGACUUAAAGUAAAGGGAAGAUUCACUGAAGGUGACAUCUGCUGAAAUAAAAUUACGGUUUAAAGACGGUGAGAAACAUUUAUAUCCUUUUUGUGAUCUAGUGAACCCUAAAAAGACACAUUUGUGUGACUUAGGAGAUAAUUUAUUAAGACCAGGAUUAAAAUUAUGAACAAAACAUGUGGACCCAAAAACUUUGGGAGGUAAAGAGUGGAGAGGGUCAUGUGGAAAUAAAAUAGAAUGAGGAAUUUUGUUAUCUAAAACUGAAGAUGGCAUGCGAUUAAUGAGAUAACAUGCACAAAGAACAGCAUCACCCCAAAAACGCUGAGAAACAUCACCAUGGAUUAAAAUAGUACGAGUUGUUUCAAUAAGAUGUCUAUUCUUACGCUCAGCUACCCCAUUUUGUUGAGGUGUAUAAGCACAUGAAGUUUGAUGAAGAAUACCAUGAGAAGCCAUAAAUUUUUUAAAAGAAUGAGAAAGAUACUCACGUCCAUUAUCACUGCGCAAAGUUCGGAUGGAAAUUCCAAAUUGAUUUUUAAUUUCAUUGUAAAAUAUUUGAAAUAUAGAAAACAACUCAGAACGGUUUUUCAAUAAAAAUACCCAAGUACAUCUUGAAUAAUCAUCAAUAAAAGUAACAAAAUACUGAAAUCCUAAAUUAGACUUAAUACGACUUGGUCCCCAAAUGUCAGAGUGAACUAAGGCAAAAGGAGAUGAAGCACGUUGUGAGACACUACUAGGAAAAGAACUACGAAUGUGCUUCCCUAACUGACACGACUCACACGAUAAAGUAGACAUAUUAGACAAACUUGGAACAAGCUAUUGCAUCUUGGCAAGACUAGGAUGACCCAACUGAGCAUGAAUGAGAGAUGGAGAAUCCAUAAUCGCGCCAACAUGUGCAGAGAUCUGUAGUUGAUAAAGUCCAUAAGACUCACAUCCGGUGCCAAUCAUCCAUCCCGAACUCCUGUUCUGUAAAGUAACAAAAUCUUUGGUAAAAGAAAUAACACAAUCAAGGGAACGGGUGAGACGACUAAUGGAUAAUAAGUUAAAUGGAGACCCAGGGACAUAAAGAACAUUAUCAAUAGAUAAAGAAGAAAAAAGAUUAAUAGUACCAACACCAUGUGAUGGUACCUUAUAUCCAUUGGCCAUGGUAACCGAAGGUAAAUAACCCGUAGUAGAUAGCGAAGAGAAAAAAGAUUUAUUACCAGUAAUGUGAUCAGUGGCACCUGAAUCUAGAACCCAAGGCCCAUGGGAAGUGGAGUGAGUGAGGCUAACAAAAGAUGUACCUGAAUGUGCAACAGAAGCCGUGGAACUAGGGUUCUGACGAUCCUCAUACCAUUUAAGAAAUUCAUUGAAAAUAGCAGGCUGGCCUGGGGUAUCAAUUGAAGUAUGGUCCAUGGUAGAAGGUUGCACAUGGGCAAUUUGAGCAACUACAAUAGAUCUAGGAGGACGACCAUGUAAGGCAUAACAUCUGUCAAUUUUGUGGCCAAGUUUGCCACAAUGGUCACACUUGUGACGCACUUUGCCCGGCUUGUGAGGGCGAGUACGAUCAUUAUGUUGGGAGACUAAAGCAGAAGAGUCAUCAGCAUGAGACGUUAUAUCAGUGGUGUGUUUACCUAGAUAUUCUGCCAUUAUACCAUCAAGACGUUUGGGAGCAACAAUUGUGAGAAGAUUUUGACACACACCAUAAAGACGUUGAGUAUCAUUGGUGUAUAAUAAUUUUGCUUGUUCCCAAACUUCUGAACAUGUCUCAUAGGUACGGAAAAUUUGUUUUAAAGAUGAGUGAAUGGUCGAUUUGAUAACAAUGCAUAAUUGAGCAUCAAUUUUCAGCAACAGUAGGAUGAGUAAGAUGAUCAACAUAACCUUGACUCUUAAGCCAUAAUUUAAUAUCUGAUGCCCAAGUGUCAUAAUUGGUUCCAUCCAAUUUGUCAAUGGAAAGAUGAUCAUUGACGUAAUUAGUAUAAAUAGAUGAAUCCGGCAUAAUGACUGCGGAAGAAGCCAUAGCGGUAGCGGCAACGAAAGAAGCCAAGCGGCAGCGGAAAAAGCCAUAGAAGAUAAGGACAAAUCCAGUCACCGGUUAAUUGGCGGCAGCAACAAAGAUGAAGGCUCCGACAGCGAUUCCGGCAGCGUCUCCAGCGAAGGCUCCGACGAGAUUCCACUGAGUUUCCGGUGACGAAUCCGGCGAGAUUCCGAUGACGGUUCCGGCGACAGGUCCAACGAGAUUCCAGCGACGGGUUCGACGACUCCGACGAGGUAGUGGUAGCUCCGGCGAAACAGUGGGGCGGUGGUUGGAAAAUUCCAAUGAAUAGUGGGUUCACUAAUAAAAAUUGAACCCUAAACCCUAACCUUAUGCUCUGAUACCAUAUUAAAGGAAAAGAAUGAAUAGAGUAAAUUCCUUGUGUAUAUUGAACACAUAGGGUUAUGUUUAUAUAGGAAAAGAAACAUAUGGGCUAAGCCCAUUACAUAAAUAUGAGAUAUCUAAUAAUAUCUAUAAUAUCUCAUAAUAUCACAUAAUAUCUAAUUAUAUCUAACAAUGAUUAUGAGUUGUCUAUCCGAAAUCACAAUUACUAAAAAAUCAUUUAUGAAAAUUGUCUUUAAACCCAAUGAUUUCAUCCACUUCUCAUUAAUAAAGUUGUGGGUACUACCUAUGUCCAUUAAAUGGAAUGCUCUGUUUUUUAAUCAUACCAGUUAGUUGUAGAGUACUCCCACCAGCCACUCCUUGAAGUGCAUGUAAAGAAACAUGUACUGACGAUUCAUGCAACAAUUCUAGACUCUGUGUAAUUAAAUUCAUCUCCGCAUCUUUGUCUGAAGCAUCCUUUUCCUUCAUUUGAUCUUGGGAAACAAAAAUAACAUGUAAUUUGCCCCAAACCUUACAUUUAUUUCUAUGGUUCUUAUCCCAUUUUUCACCACAAAAUCUGCACAACCCUUUAGAGAUACGAUCACUUAUCUCUUUUCUGGAAAUUGAACCUGUAGUAAUAGUCUUGCUGUCCAAUCCUAAGAGUGGCUUAAAGGAACUUGGUGCAGCAUGAGAUUGUAAUGUAGUAAUAGGUGCAGAUUUAUGGUAAAACUGGGACUAAUUCCCAGUUUUAAAAUUUUUGUGUUGCUCCUCUGAACUUCCCAUUGAAACCCCAUGAAUUUCCUUGGUCAAUUCCUGCAAUAGAUCUUUCGGGAGACGGGCUAACUGCACUGCUUCUUGAAGAGUAGUUGGACUGUGUAAACAGACUGAUUUCUCCAAUCUUACCGUUAAACCUGACAAAAAAAGAAACUCAAAGUCUUUUCGUCCGAAACCAUAACUCUGGCCAACAGAUUGUCAAAUUUUUCCAAAUAAUCAACUAAAGAACUUCCCUGUUUUAAUCGAGUUAAUUCAGCCAUAGGAUUAUCAAAGGUACCAUCAUCAAAUCUUUGAGCCGCAUCCUUCAAGAUUUGUGUCCAAGAUUGAUGUUGGAAAUCAAAAGUCUUAAUGUAGUGACUCUGCCACGCAAAAGCCUUGCCCUCCAUUUAAAGCAACAGUAAUCUUGCUCUUUGUUGUAUUGGGUGUCCUCUAAUUCGAAAAAUUGCUCCACUUUGGCCUUCCAAUCCCGAAAAUUGGAUCCAUCGAAUGAUGGAAAAGGCAAUUGGGUUCGAUUAAGCACCGAGAAGAGUUCUUCACAAGUUCUUGAUUUGUGAAAGAAGAAGAUGGAAUCUGCUGUAAACUGCUCCCAACAAACAUGGAAGAAAUUAAACCUUCAAUAGCUUGUUGUAAACCUUGUAAAGAUUUCUGGGUUGCUGCUUGGGAAUCUGCCACCAGUUUCUCCAAAAAAUCCACCCUUGAUUCUAAUUUUUUAUUGGUCACCAUCUCACCUAGAAAGUUGAUACCACUGUUAAAGUAGUUUCCAGUAAUAAUCUCCCUUUUCCCUCUGGACAACACAACUCACACUGUUCUCACUUUGGUGUUCACUGACACACACAAAGGUAUGCUCUCACAACACAAUUAUUGAUAGGAUUGAAGUAAAACUGUUAUUCUUUCAUUCAAAGCACCUUAGAAGGACUUAUAAACCCCUUUCUAUUACAAAACUAACUAGUAACUCUGUUUUAAAAGAGUUAUAUAACCCUUUUCUUUACAAAACUAACUACUAACUCUAUUUUAAAAGAGUUAUAUAACAUAUUAAUAGAUGGAAUCUUAAAUAACUUUUCAAUAUGUGUUACUUAAUUGUCCUUAUCUUUAACUGUAAUCAUUUCCCUAUCAGUGUCCUGAACAUGGAGCAUGAUUCUUGGCUUGGUUCGGUAGACUUCUGUGUUUAUUUUUACACAAGUAUUUUGUUGGUGGACCUGUUUUAACAAAUUUACCUUGAUACCCCAUGUCUGUGGUAUAAGAACUCAGUUUGUUGUGGGUUGUAGUUUUGUCAUCAUCAUAAUAAUGAAUACUGAAACUAUAUUCAUUGGAUUUCAAUAUGAUGAUAGCUUUUAGAAAUUAUUCCUUGAAUAAUUACACAUGCCAAAGGUAUGGAGCAUAGUGCAUUUGAUAAACUUAGUUCGUUGGAACUACAAAAAAUUGUACCCAGGAUCUUGUACUUCUAUUUUCAAAAUCGUGAAUACUGUAGGCACCUCUUAAAAAAUUUCUUCCUUGGUGACAAUUCCUGGAACCAAGGGAAAUAUGACAACUUCGUUUAUGAUCACAAUUGAAGUUGUAUUACUGUUUUGAAUUUGAUUUAGGCGGCUCUCACAAACAUUAUUCAAUUGUUGUUCUUACUAAUAAUUUUUCCUACUACAGCUUCUGCACACAAUUCAAGUUGCAGAGAGUGUAGAGAAACCUCCACUUGCAGAAGCUUUUCGUGAUGUUUAUGAUGUUCCUCCAUCCAAUCUCCGUGAGCAGGAGCAAUGGCUGAAGAAGAUUGUAAAAGAACAGCCCGAAGAGUAUCCAGGAAAUAUUUCUGGGUAGACUUCAAUAUGCUAAAGCAAAUUUCACUGCUGCUAAUAAUUUACAUGUCCUGAUUUUCCACUAGACUAUUUUCAGUUUUUUUUUUUAAUUUUUAUAUUAUGCGUAA
Molecule: long non-coding RNA, 10301 nt
Filed under: Phaseolus vulgaris (common bean)
Lineage: Eukaryota; Viridiplantae; Streptophyta; Magnoliopsida; Fabales; Fabaceae
Description: long non-coding RNA (PVUL_LNC001207)
Source: RNAcentral